AUUUAAAUUAAACCUGUUUAAAGUAAAUACAUCAUAUAUUAUAUUCAUCCAUAUUCAUUAAAUACAACAUAAACCAGUUCAAUAGGAAAUUAAAUCUGAUUUAUUCACAUUAAGUCUAUUUAAUCGUUUCACUGGAAUUCAUUGGAUCCACCUGAAGCCACUCUUUCAUUCCUGAACCAGCAGACCUCGUGCUGAUGAAUGGACCGAGUUUGGUAUUCUCUCUUUGGAUUUACUUUGUGAAAACCAGGGCAACCUCUUAAUAGUUUGUGUGAAUGUGGGAGUGUAAACUUUGUGACAUAUCACCAGUAUCAAGCAGGUAUUGAGCUCAGCGUUAUUCUUGUAAUUUAGUGCUC
This is a long non-coding RNA of Gadus macrocephalus (Pacific cod), 353 nucleotides long. RefSeq lists it as uncharacterized. Lineage: Eukaryota; Metazoa; Chordata; Actinopteri; Gadiformes; Gadidae. The record is from RefSeq and is a predicted model, not a curated record. The transcript has 3 exons.